Long non-coding RNA from Siniperca chuatsi (mandarin fish), 4310 nucleotides. RefSeq lists it as uncharacterized. The record is from RefSeq and is a predicted model, not a curated record. Lineage: Eukaryota; Metazoa; Chordata; Actinopteri; Centrarchiformes; Sinipercidae. The transcript is spliced from 2 exons.
CAGAGAGAAAAGGAGAGAGAGAGAGCGUGUUAGAAAAACAAAGAGUGAAUUUGUGCAGCGUUAAAAAGGCAGUUUAGAAAGAAGAAGGUUGACAACGAGCAAAAAGAACAAUUCUACCAUAGAAGCACAAAGAUGAAGGGUAGAGGAGGAGGCUUGUUUCAGCACACAGAAAGACACAUUUUAAUAAUCUACAGCGGUGGGACAAAGUCAUUGUUGUGCAAGUCACAAGUGUAUGAAUUGCACACUCCUAAAUGUUGUUUAGAGUCCAAAACAAGUCAUUAUGUGCCCUUCACCAGAUUUAAUGCCAUUUUAAAUCUAUAAACAGUUAGUAUAGUACAUUUGCAAAAAUAAUACAUGCCUUUUAAAAUGUGCAUUCAUUCAUUUCAAAAAAAGCUGUCCAAUAUUUUAAAACACAAUGAUCAGGUAUAUACCGUGUUAUUCUGUUUUGAUUCUUGCAUGCAGGGCCAGGAUUUUAGAAAUACUGAGGUCAGGGGACCAAAUUCCUCCAAUGCAACCCACCCAUCACCAAAACAGCUUUUCCUUCCUGUAAUCAUUCCUCCUGUUCAUACUGGCCAUUAAGAGAUCCCUUGGCUUCUAAUGUAAGUGAUAGGGGACAAAAUCUACAGUCAUCGUUUUGUGCAAAAAUGUAUUUUAUCUGAGUUUAAGUUUAUCUGAAGUUAAUAUGAGGCUUCAGAAGUCUGAAGUUAAGUCACAUCAAGUGUGGAUCUUCCAAAGUUAGUCUUUUUAGUACAAAACUCCCUCCCUGUGUUUCCCUGGACAGUGUUUCCCAGUUGAGCUGCAGUGGAAGGAUAGUAACAAAAAGAGGGCCGGUAUAAACAGGAGGAACGAUUACAGGAAGCAAAACCUAUUUCAAUGUUCAUAUGGGAACCUGACUGUUGUCUUAAGACAGACUUGAAAAAUUGUGACCCUGUUCCUUUAAGUCUAACUGCAGUCAUGAGUCAUUGGUGGUAAAUUCUAAGUCAAAUUGCUUGUGUUUUUUGAUUCUGUCAAGUCUAAGUACAGUCUAGUCCACACCUCUGAUCAUCUGUAAAUGGUGGCACCACAAGGAGCCUAGGUUCAUGAAAACACACCAUUGAUUCUAUACAGGACUGGGGGGGAGGAAGUCGACAAAAAACAAACACACCCUUCAGACAAACCCAAGAAACACAGUCAAAAGAUGAAAAAGACCCACCGAAAAACAUUUUUUUACAGCACAGAUGCAGAAAGAUCCAAGACAAACUUCCAAAGCCAGAGAGAGAAAAUGUUCUAGUACAAAACAGACGAGGAUUGAUAAAAACAGACCAGCUGCAGACCAAACCACAACCGGAAAGGAUUUCACACAGGGAAGUGAAGCAGUGAGCCCCAGGCAAGACACAUGUAUCACACACACACACACACACAAAGCAUUUAGUUUCCUACCUCCUCCUUUUGUCUCAUCACAGGGCUUCCAGCUGAAAUGAGGAGGGGCUGGAAACUUUUCCCACCUCUACCACUGGUCCACGAAUUCACCACUAACUCAGCACAUUUUUGGGUAUGAGGCAGUUGCGAGGCUGCAUAUUUUAGUGUGUGUGUGUUUGUUUUGUAGAUUACGUUUUAACCCCCUAUGUAGCUUUUACAGUACAUAACAAUUAAUAAAUGGUUGAUAACACACAAUAAUGUAGUUAUCUCAUUAUCUGCCAGCAGAUGUAGGGAGUGUUUAAGUGUUUAAUUAAUGUAUCUGACAACAAUUUAACACGAUAAACAGUUAUAACAAUACAAAAUAUAGAUUCAUGUUUUACAUAAACAUAUAUAUUAUUUGUUUAUUACAUGUAUUAAUUAUAUUCAUAAAUUAAGUAUUUUAUAUAUAAAUAUUUCUUCUUACUCCAUGACAACUGAGCAAACUCCAUGUGAUGCGGCCAUGAGAUGCAGCUGAAAACUUUAGGAGAAACUUAGUAAGUGGACCUUAAGUUAAGUAUUGUUUUUUUUUUCUGAGGUCAAGAAAGAAAACUUCAAGCUCAAGUUUUGAACACGUUUAUAAUCAGUUUUAAACCUGCCUGUUAACAGUGUAUACAUGAGUAUAAACAGUUAUUAAAUGUUUUACAACAGUAAGAAUCUGUUUAUGUGUGUAAUAAAAUAUCAUUAAAUGUAAUUACAGAUAUCUUACACUGUGUUAUCAGUCAUUCAUAAAAGAAGGCCUAUGAUUCUUGUUGGUGUCUUGUGUUAAUAUAGGUGAUGUUUUCCAAACCGUGACAAAUAAGCCAAGACUUGCAGUGAAACUGGAACUUUCAGGUUUUGUUCCAGAAGUAAGAAAACCUCAUUUAAAAUCCCACUGACAUUUGUAACAUCUUGCUAAUAACAAAAAAUCCAGCUCUGGAACAGAGACUCUCUCAACAGUAUGUCAUGUGGUUCGCUUCAUAUGUUUAGAUAAGGACGGUGUUUUUUUUUUUUUUAAAUGUCGUUAUUUAUUUAAUAUUUCUGUUUUUCAGAGGCCUUUAACGAACACCAUUUGCCAGAAGCCCUAGGCCUUCGCGGGCUUAACAUCACGGCUCGACACGAGGCGAGUGUCUGUUGUUAGUUCAGACCGCAUCUGUAAUAACGGCUGGACAGAGAGGAGCGGUCUCUGUACAACUUUUUAGACAGCAGAGAUUACAACUCAAACUUUUUUUUUUAACCCCUGGAAAGAGCCAGGCUUGCUCUUUCCACCUGUUUCCAGUUAUUAUGCUAAGCUAAGACAGUUGUCUCCUGGCUCUAGCUUAGAUUCCAGAUAUGAGAGUGGAACUGAUCUUCUCAUCAAACUCUCAGCAAGAAACCAAACAAACAUAUGUCCUAAAAUGUUGAACUAUUUCUCUAUUUAAGUGUUACCAUUUUUGGGCGUAGCAGCAGUAACAAAGCAGACACAGCAGAGGGAGUCUGGUAGGCACCAGUGAGUAUAUUAUCAGUUUCCAGUCAUACAGGACAAUUACACAAUCCACAGAAGCAUCUCUUUCAUCCAGAACAAUUUAUCCAAAUAUCUCUCUGAUAUAGAACUCAAUAUAUAUAUUUUUCUGUCAUAUCUCUCGUUAUGUCACCACUGAUUUGUCACUAUUACCAUCCUCACAAUAAGCUUGCGCUUUUUUCACCUGGCAGAAUCAUCAUCUUUAUCAGCGAGCAUCUUUGUAUAACAGAAACAAAUCUGCGAUGUCACCAAGCGGCCGCCUCCCUUUUUGAUACAAGCUCAAAGAACAUUUGACACAUUGUUUACUUACCUGCAUCGUUACACAGUUACAAAAGGAUAAUACAACCUGCCUCACAAUGAAACACACGUCUUCUCAGACAAUUCAUUUUAUAUAUGAAAAUGACUUUCGAAGGGUAUUGUUGGAGAACAGUUAAGCUAUAAUGCAUAUUCUAAUAAUUAUACAUGUACUGCAAAAUGGCACAAGAUGGCUGCCCUUCAUCACAGUUGUUGAGGACAAUAUUUUCCCACAUCCUCGUGAUUCUGAACCCUAUUUUGGCACUUUAGGGUUUCCUGUUUUUGUAAGCUAACAAACCACCAGCUUCACGAGACUCGACAAGGCUUCGUCAUAUGUGAAAUUCUACAAAAAUGGUUGUUCACAAGCUAAGAGAUAUGCCCCCUGUCAAUAAAAACACAGUGUAAUGUGGUGAAUGUUUUCAGUAAUGAAUCAGGAGAAAAUUAAUGAGCUUUCAGUCAAAUAUCACUAACUAGACGUAGACUUACACUCUUUCAGACUGCAUCUAUAAAGACUUCUAUCCUCUGACUGGUUAAAAAUGAAAUUAGCAAAAAAUUUAAGAUAAGCUCACCACAACACUGACUGAACAGAAAGUGUAGAAGUAUUUGGUCCUAUAGAUAAAAUUAAAGUCAACAUUAGAAAACUUGUACUUAAACAAUCAUAACAAAGCAAUUGGUCAGUUUUCACUUACACUGUAUGAAUAUUACCAAUAUGCGAUCAUAGUACACUCAUCAAUAUUACUGAUAGGUUGUCAUAGUCAAUGUGUAACUACAGGGAGGGUGACACAGAGACGAGCAGCUGGGCAGCAUUCAGGAGCAACAAUUCUGCACUAAAGAUAGAAAUACAGCCACUAGAGCUGAUAUGAGAGCAGCAGUGUAACAUGACAUGCUAAACCAAAGUAAACUGAAAACAGUGUCACCGCUGGAAACGAGACUAGUCUCCUACUGGCGACUUGACACAUGAACAUCUGAUUAUUUCUCCUGAUUGUUAGCAUUUGAGCACCUGUCUGCAUUUCCAUCUGAACGUUAUUUAAAUAAAUAGUUUGGCAUUUUGGGAAAUACGCUUAUUUGAUUUCUUUCCGAGAGUUAGAUGAGAGGAUUGAUA